AACGUAGGUGGCGAGCGUUAUCCGGAAUUACUGGGCGUAAAGGGUGCGUAGGCGGCGCGGAAAGUAGGGUGUGAAAUCCCUCGGCUUAACCGAGGAAUAGCGCUCUAAACUACCGUGCUCGAGGGAGAUAGAGGUGAGCGGAACUUAGGGUGGAGCGGUGAAAUGCGUUGAUAUCCUAAGGAACACCGGUGGCGAAAGCGGCUCACUGGAUCUCUUCUGACGCUGAUGCACGAAAGCUAGGGUAGCGAACGGG
RNAcentral lists this ribosomal RNA (253 nucleotides) under uncultured bacterium. Its description in RNAcentral is "partial 16S ribosomal RNA". It matches the Rfam family "Bacterial small subunit ribosomal RNA", at positions 524 to 776 of the family's 1533-position model. The record is from RNAcentral.